RNAcentral lists this long non-coding RNA (352 nucleotides) under Rattus norvegicus (Norway rat). RNAcentral's name for it is "long non-coding RNA NONRATT015300". The record is from RNAcentral. Lineage: Eukaryota; Metazoa; Chordata; Mammalia; Rodentia; Muridae.
ACCAUUCUGGAAAUCAGUCUGGAGGUUCCUCAGUAAAUUGGACAUUUAACUACCUGAGGAUCCAGCUAUACCUCUCUUGGGCAUAUACCCAAAAGAUGCCCCAACAUACAGCAAAGACACAUGCUCCACUAUGUUCAUAGCAGGCUUAUUUAUAAUAGCCAGAAGCUGGAAAGAACCCAGACGCCCUUCAACAGAGGAAUGCAUACAGAAUAUGUGGAACAUCUACAUAAUGGAGUAUUACUCAGCUAUUAAAAAUGAUGACUUCAUGAAAUUCAUAGGCAAAUGGAAUGAAGUAGAAAAUAUCAUCCUGAGUGAGGUUACACAAUCACAGAAAAACACACUUGGUAUGCAC